RNAcentral lists this ribosomal RNA (468 nucleotides) under uncultured bacterium. Its description in RNAcentral is "partial 16S ribosomal RNA". It matches the Rfam family "Bacterial small subunit ribosomal RNA", at positions 28 to 507 of the family's 1533-position model. The record is from RNAcentral.
GACGAACGCUGGCGGCGUGCUUAACACAUGCAAGUCGAACGGAAAGGCCCUGCUUUUGUGGGGUGCUCGAGUGGCGAACGGGUGAGUAACACGUGAGUAACCUGCCCUUGACUUUGGGAUAACUUCAGGAAACUGGGGCUAAAACCGGAUAGGAGCUCCUGCUGCAUGGUGGGGGUUGGAAAGUUUCGGCGGUUGGGGAUGGACUCGCGGCUUAUCAGCUUGUUGGUGGGGUAGUGGCUUACCAAGGCUUUGACGGGUAGCCGGCCUGAGAGGGUGACCGGCCACAUUGGGACUACGAUACGGCCCAGACUCCUACGGGAGGCAGCAGUGGGGAAUAUUGCACAAUGGGCGGAAGCCUGAUGCAGCAACGCCGCGUGCGGGAUGACGGCCUUCGGGUUGUAAACCGCUUUCGCCUGUGACGAAGCGUGAGUGACGGUAAUGGGUAAAGAAGCACCGGCUAACUACGUG